GUGGGGAAUAUUGCACAAUGGGCGAAAGCCUGAUGCAGCAACGCCGCGUGAGCGAUGAAGGCCUUUGGGUCGUAAAGCUCUGUCCUUGGGGAAGAAACAAAUGACGGUACCCUUGGAGGAAGCCCCGGCUAACUACGUGCCAGCAGCCGCGGUAAUACGUAGGGGGCAAGCGUUAUCCGGAAUUAUUGGGCGUAAAGAGUGCGUAGGUGGUCUUGUAAGCGCGGGGUGAAAGGCAAUAGCUCAACUAUUGUAAGCCCUGCGAACUGUGAGACUUGAGUGCAGGAGAGGAAAGCGGAAUUCCUAGUGUAGCGGUGAAAUGCGUAGAUAUUAGGAGGAACACCAGUGGCGAAGGCGACUUUCUGGACUGUAACUGACACUGAGGCACGAAAGCGUGGGUAGCAAACAGGAUUAGAAACCCGGGUAGUCC
This 427-nucleotide ribosomal RNA is filed under the name uncultured bacterium. RNAcentral's name for it is "partial 16S ribosomal RNA". It matches the Rfam family "Bacterial small subunit ribosomal RNA", at positions 354 to 796 of the family's 1533-position model. The record is from RNAcentral.